This 409-nucleotide ribosomal RNA is filed under the name uncultured organism. RNAcentral's name for it is "bacterial LSU rRNA". It matches the Rfam family "Bacterial large subunit ribosomal RNA", at positions 2078 to 2485 of the family's 2925-position model. The record is from RNAcentral.
GGACAGAAAGACCCUAUGAAGCUUUACUGUAGUUUGGAAUUGGGUUCGGGCUCUUCUUGCGCAGCCUAGGUGGGAGGCUAUGAAGAUAAACUUUUGGGUUUAUUGGAGCCAACAGUGAGAGACCACUCUAGAGGAGCUAGAAUUCUAAUGGCGUUCCUUGAAGCAGGACGCUUGACAGUUUCAGAUGGGCAGUUUGACUGGGGCGGUCACCUCCUAAAAGGUAACGGAGGUGUGCAAAGGUUCCCUCAGGCUGGACGGAAAUCAGCCGUAGAGUGUAAAGGCAGAAGGGAGCUUGACUGCAAGACCUACAAGUCGAGCAGGGGCGAAAGCCGGCCUUAGUGAUCCGACGGUUCCGAGUGGAAGGGCCGUCGCUAAACGGAUAAGAGUUACUCUAGGGAUAACAGGCUGA